Molecule: unclassified non-coding RNA, 374 nt
Filed under: uncultured bacterium
Lineage: Bacteria
Description: contains 16S-23S intergenic spacer region
Source: RNAcentral
UCCGGUUUGUCACCGGCAGUCUCAUUAGAGUGCCCAACUGAAUGGUGGCAACUAAGGACGAGGAUUGCGCUCGUUGCGGGACUUAACCCAACACCUCACGGCACGAGCUGACGACAGCCAUGCACCACCUGUGCAGGCUCCGUAGAGCACCCGCUUUCACGGGUUUCACCCUGCAUGUCAAGCCCAGGUAAGGUUCUUCGCGUCGCAUCGAAUUAAGCCGCAUGCUCCGCCGCUUGUGCGGGCCCCCGUCAAUUCCUUUGAGUUUCAACCUUGCGGUCGUACUCCCCAGGCGGGGCACUUAAUGCGUUAGCUACGGCACAGAUCACGUUGGUUGUGACCCACACCUAGUGCCCAACGUUUACGGCGUGGACUAC